GUAGGGACCAAGCGUUGUUCGGAUUUACUGGGCGUAAAGGGCGCGUAGGCGGCAAUUCAAGUCAUCUGUGAAAUCUCCGGGCUUAACUCGGAACGGUCAGAUGAUACUGCUUUGCUAGAGUGCGGAAGGGGCAAUCGGAAUUCUUGGUGUAGCGGUGAAAUGCGUAGAUAUCAAGAGGAACACCUGAGGUGAAGACGGGUUGCUGGGCCGACACUGACGCUGAUGCGCGAAAGCCAGGGGAGCAAACGGGAUUAGAUACCCCGGUAGUCCUGGCCCUAAGCGAUGAAUACUUGGUGUCUGGAGUCUUUAAUGCUCCGGGUGCCGUCGCUAACGUUUUUAGUAUUCCGCCUGGGGAGUACGCUCGCAAG
RNAcentral lists this ribosomal RNA (368 nucleotides) under uncultured bacterium. RNAcentral describes it as "bacterial SSU rRNA". It matches the Rfam family "Bacterial small subunit ribosomal RNA", at positions 527 to 892 of the family's 1533-position model. The record is from RNAcentral.